Long non-coding RNA from Bombus pascuorum, 2170 nucleotides. RefSeq lists it as uncharacterized. NCBI's taxonomy places the organism in Eukaryota, Metazoa, Arthropoda, Insecta, Hymenoptera, Apidae. The record is from RefSeq and is a predicted model, not a curated record. The transcript has 2 exons.
ACGUUUUACAGAGGAUGUAAAACUGCGUCGGCAUAAAAGAACGACAAGGACAUUGAUUAUAUUAUUUUCAAGCCUACGGACAUUUACUAUUGAGCAUAUCUCUCUACGGUUCUAGAUAAUUAGCGUAGUUAAUUUGCGGUGUUGUUCGACGAUCGAGAUAUACGUAUUAACAUAUCGUAUCUGGUAAUUUUCCAGAAAGUUCUUAUUACUUGGUAUACCAGUAUAAAAUACUAUAAGUUCGUCACGUAUCCACUAUAUAAAAAAUCAUCAAGUUAACUACUCGCUCAUCGAUAUUCUCGAGACGUUAAUUUACAACUUCCAGAGAGACGAUAAAAACGUUGGAAAAAGUUGCAUCACAAAGUGACUCAUAGUGAUUCACUUUAUAUAUUUCUGUAAUGACUGGUGCCAGUCGAUAUAUGAUAACAUCGAUUUCACGUACCUCAGCGAGUUAUAACGUUCGCACGAAUCGCUACACGAAGAAAGAAAACUGAUGUAACUGCGGAUAUCACGGAUGCAAAAAGGUCACGAGAUCGUGACGUUUCGGUGAAAGGUUCAUGCGUUAAAUUCACGGACGCAACGAUUAAGAUCUAAGUACCACGGCCACAGAUCUCGAGAAAAGGACCUACGAAAGUUUUGCGGUUUGCAUCUUUCGAAGGUUACGGAGAUGCAAUAUUUACUCUAAGAUGAAGACAGACGUUGUGAAACACGUCGGAAGGAAAAUAACACGACGAUUCUUAGCGCGUCUCCACUUGUUAUUUAGAUUCCUCGGAUGUCUUGAAUUAUCGUUUCGCAAUGUGCUAAUCAUCGACACAAGCAGGAAAACGGAAAAAUUUCGAUCUGAAAAAAGAUAUGAAUUUCUCACUGUAUUCUAAAUAUUCAUAACGACAAUUCUACUUAUCGAAGAAACCGUUAACUGAUAAGUAAACAGCGAACGUGCCAUUAUAAUGGCUAACUAAUAAAUAGGAACUCGAUUAUACGUAAUACUUGGGAAGGGAUGAGCGUUAAUUAAAAUAACAUUCUUGCACGUCCGUUAAAUGCUUCUAAGCGCUGAAAAUGGCGCAGUACCCGCUGGUCAACUGCGAGUAAAUGAUACCAGUAAUAUUAAUAAGUUACUAAUUAGCAUAAAUCUGUAAUUCUGACCCUCUUCUUAGUCUAGUUGUCUGCAUGCCAAUGUAACGUCCGGUUACCUGAGACACAUUUGAUUCUUCCCAAUCAUUAUUUCUCCCUUUGAUUAACGUUUCAAUAUUACAAUUUGAAACGAACAUCACGUAUGACUGUGUUCGGUUAUACCUGUAAUAUUCGCAAAUAUUUGCACAUUAGAAUACUUAGUGGAGUGAGAAUAAUGUUAUCGCUAAGAUACUAAUAAGCAAGUCGAGUUAUGCAAAUUCGAAACGUAAAACAGAAAGCGAACGUAACGAGUAAAUAAUACAUACUUUGGAAAUUGUCCUUAGUUUUUGAUAUUUAAACUAGUACCUCGAAGAAAUUUUCAAGGAUCAAAGUAAAAAUAGUCUUCUGAAAUAUUCGUCAAAGCGGCUAUGUACUGUUAGUCUGAUUUCGAGUUGGGAUCAAUGGACGAUGAAGCGAAAAAAAUUACUGAUCGCUGGGCAUGUCGACGUCGUUGAAAUAACGAGCACGCCAAUAAUAUCUAGUUCGCUGGUGGCUCGUGAAAGAUUAUUUAGUUUACCUUGGAUAGUUGCCUAGAAAAUAAACUGUACAGUGAAUGGUAUCAAAAUAUGUUGGAAUGUAAUGCAAAUAAGAUCGUGAUAUAUUUCUCAGUAAUAAUCCACGAUGACCUAUUCCAACGAUGUUUACGCGAAUUAGAUAUGCUAUACGGAAGAUUUGGGAUAUUAAAAAUAUCUAGACGUGUUUUACGUCAAAUAGAGUCUUAGAAUGAUUUAAUUCUGUGAUUGUGAAACUUUCCUCGAAACAUGCUGAGCAUCUCAAGUUUCUGUAACGGAUGAAAACAAUGAAUAAGAAUAAUCCUACGGACGUCUGAAAGUAUCUGAAUGACCAUGAUGUUGAAAUGGCCAACACCUAUUACAGAUAUACUACCAGUGCACACGCACUUUAUUACUGUUAUAACAUUACGUUAUACACAUUACAUGAUCAUUCGUCGACAGUUAUGCCUCGCCCGUCAUCGUUUUAAUGCUCGAUAAAACUCUUCUCUAUG